UACUAUCUAACUGGACAAGGAAUCCUGUGAAAAUCAGGAGCUGUGCCGCAACCGUGGUUCGACGAUGCUCACCAUCUUCGAUAAGCCGGAAAACUAGCAGCUUCUAAUUAUUCCGA
RNAcentral lists this non-coding RNA (116 nucleotides) under Candidatus Microgenomatota. The record is from RNAcentral.